AAGGGGCCGCCGAUGAUGAGUUCAGCCAGGACCUCGCUUCUACGCAGCCAGGAGCUGUGCUCCGUGAGCCCCCAAGCUGAUUUCGAGCUGAGCUCUGCUCCGUUCAGCAACGGUCUCUUUAGCAGAGAGCUGAGCAGCACCGCGACUAGCGUGAGAGAGACGGUCUGCUACGUCGCGCCCAAGCACGGGGGAUGCGGGCGGCUAACGGAGAAGACCGAUAUAUACAGUUCCGGGGUUCUCAUUCUCGUGAUUGUCUCAGGGAGGAGACCGCUGCAUGUUCUGUCUUCUCCUAUGAAACUUCUCCUCCUCCGCUCCUCUCGCCAACUCUCAGGGUUUGCAGACUGCUGCAGGCGAGGUUAAGGGCAAAUCAGACGCUUUCGAGUUGAUUCAGGCACAUCAGGCGGCAGCAGCUCGACUUUCACUGGUUGAUGAGGUCCGAACUUUGCUUAAUCAGAGUGUUCGAGGAGUGCUCUCCACGUUUUCUCAGAAUCUGCUGGGUAAUCCAAGAUGCUCUUUACUUGUUGCAAGGGAUCCCGAAAAUAGAACUGAUACUCAUUGCUUAUGCAUAUACUCUUGCUGAUGUAGGUUUUCGAUAGUGACAGAGAGGGCAUACGUACUGCAUACUUGGAAAAUGUACAAUCUAGGGUUUCUUCUCUUGCUACCUGUUGCGGGACGAGGACAUUAUGAGCAGCUUCAAAGAGCUUUUCUCAAGGGAAACAAAAAUAUGUCUUGCUACUUCCUAUCUGUUUGAUUUGUGAUUCUUGAAUAAAAUAUUUGAUGAAUCUGAUGAGGCGUAUGCAUAAAUGCUAUACAGGUCAAGUGGUUCUUUCUGUACUUCAAUGUGAUUUGCUGUAAUUUUGACACCUUCAUGAUGAUUAAGGUUCUCAUUAGAUUAAAUUAUUGAGAUGUUGCACCUCCACUAAGCUUCUUUUUUUCCAGGUUGUCAUUCAAGUUGCUUGGCAACUUAUUUUAUUCUGGUCUACCUCGGCCUCUACAUCUGAGAUCAUCAACUCCGAUACAUUUAUGUGUUUUAGUUUGUACAUAUAUUGAUGCAUUGCUUGUGUCCUUAUGUUACACUCAGGAUGACGAGGAAGAAGGAGAAGGAGAAGAAGAGGGCUUGAGUAAAUGUAUAGGGAAGGAGUUGAAGAAGCUUCUGCAGUGUCAUAGCCAUCGUAAAUAAUUUAUGUAAAAGUUUGUAAACAAUUUAUGUAUCUUUCUACUAUUUUGGUGAAUGUAUUAUUUGAAUAUAAUUAGACUUGAUAUUAGAAUAUAAUUUGAUUGUGUUGGAUAUGAAUA
RNA transcript from Asparagus officinalis (garden asparagus), 1296 nucleotides. RefSeq lists it as uncharacterized. NCBI's taxonomy places the organism in Eukaryota, Viridiplantae, Streptophyta, Magnoliopsida, Asparagales, Asparagaceae. The record is from RefSeq and is a predicted model, not a curated record. The transcript has 7 exons.